RNAcentral lists this ribosomal RNA (379 nucleotides) under uncultured eukaryote. RNAcentral's name for it is "partial 18S ribosomal RNA". It matches the Rfam family "Eukaryotic small subunit ribosomal RNA", at positions 592 to 976 of the family's 1831-position model. The record is from RNAcentral.
CAAUAGCGUAUAUUUAAGUUGUUGCAGUUAAAAAGCUCGUAGUUGGAUUUCGGAUGGGAUUUGCCGGUCCGUCGUUACGAUGUGCACUGGCCAGUCCUAUCUUGUUGUCGGGGACCAGCUCCUUGGAUUAACUUCCUGGGACUAGGAGCUGACGAGGUUACUUUGAGUAAAUUAGAGUGUUCAAAGCAAGCCUUCGCUCUGAAUACAUUAGCAUGGAAUAACACAAUAGGACUCUGGCUUAUCUUGUUGGUCUGUGAGACCAGAGUAAUGAUUAAGAGGGACAGUCGGGGACAUUCGUAUUUCAUUGUCAGAGGUGAAAUUCUUGGAUUUAUGAAAGACGAACUUCUGCGAAAGCAUUUGUCAAGGAUGUUUUCAUUAA